AUUCAAUCAAAGAACAACACCGUAAAACCAAAUAUUCAAGAAGCAAACAAAUUAAAAAUAACUUUUUAAUAAAAAAGGUGGCACAAGAACCAUACUUAAGACUAAGAAAUUUCAAUAAUUGUAAACCUCUCUAUAAUUUUCUAUGCUUGGUUAUACAGUACAUGGGUCAAGCUGUUUGUAUGUCCAAAAAUAUAUAUUCCAUUAACAUUGAGGACUUACAUGUAGUCCUUUCACAGAAAGAUAACUUCACAUCAAAGUAAGUUUACUUCAGUUCAAUUCUUCAUAUGUCCAAAUACCUAACACAAUAACAUUACCAAGCACUUCUUAAUGAUAAAGUUACAGUUGCUACAACAUAUUUACCCUCAAUGGUUUAUUGAGGCUGCUAUUCAUAUUCCCAUAUAAAAUCACAACAUCGAAAGAAACAAACUUCUAUAAAAUACACUGUUAAAUUCUACUGUGAUUAUGCACCAAACAUCACAGAAUGAGUCAACUCUGAAUCAAGGUACUCACGUAGUCACACAUCCAAUAAUCUGAAGAAUUUAUCCAGAUCCAUAUAAACAAAAAUCUCGAACCCAAAUAACUAUAGAAAUGGCUAGCAACCUAUGUCAUAUUAAAGCCAAGACAAUAACACGUAAAUAGGGGAAACUUACACAACAAUAGAGCUGUAAAAUUUCUUUCUUAGUACAAGUAAACAUGCAAGAUAUUAUAUCCAGAACAACAUACAAAGAACUAUACAACAACAAAGAGCCGUCAAGGCAACCACAGAAUUUCGCAACGACAAAGGGCCGGAGGCGAAGUAAAAAAAAUGACUAUACUAAUUAGACUUAGGCAGCUUACUAACUUCCCUCUAAAAAUAAUAGAACAGAGAGAGAGUCAUUAUCAACCAAUUAAGUAAUUUACUAAAAAUUGUUUUUCUGCAGAAAAUCAUUUCAAGAUUCUAUAGAAAGUUUAAAAAAAUAAUCAAACAAGAAAAGAAGAAAACUCAAAAAAUGAAUUCAGCGAUUUAUAAAAACAAAUCCAAAAUAUGCAUAUUAUUUCAAAAGCCAAGGUCAAAACUGAUUCUCCAAAACCCAAACAUAAAUCAAAUGUCUUUUUCUUCUGAUGUUUUUUUAACAAAAUAGCUAGGAUGUUGGAUGUCCUGAAGUAUAGUCAGUUACUAAUAGGAAUUGCAUAAUUGGAAGAAAAUAAGUUUGUCAUAGAUACAAAAACAAACUUAGAGACAAACUACCCAACUUAAUAGCUCAUGCGACAGGAAAGGCAAACUUAUUUAUUCUCAUCUUCCAAGUGCGGACAACAGAAAGGCACUAAUUAUUGAGCGUGUGAAGAUUUGGUGAUUUUCUAAUUUUAUUUGUUUUCUUUCUAGUAACAUUACCUAAUUUUUAACAAGAAAAUUUCAGCAUUAUACCGUUGUACUAUCAACACAACAUGUUCUAUGUUUUCUCUAACCAAAAUCAAAAUACAAGCAUGUUCUGACUUCUCACAAAACAACAAUUAAAAUAAAUCAUCAAAACUUGGCAAAGAGUAAACUGAUAUAAAGCUAAUAAAACCAUCAAAAAGCAGACAUCUUUAGGUAAAACUGACAUACACUUUACCAAAAAAAGCCAAUUUCUUCGACAACAACGAAACCCUACCCCCUACCCCCCCCCCCCCCCAUAUUUCCCUACAAAACACAAACUAAAAAUAAACACCUAACAUUUGGUAAAAAUAAACUGAUACACAAAGCUAAUAAGACCAUAGAAAGCUGUUUUUGCUGCUUAAAAAUAACCCCAAAAAAUAAGUAAUACAGCAAAGUUUAGCCCCCUCAUUUUCUUGAAUAAUAUUACAGUCAAAGCAAGAAAUUAAAUACAUUGCUCACACCCUAAGGAUUAAAGGAAAAAUAAUGAUUAAAUAAGAAAAUACCCAAAUUAGAAAAGAAAAAGUUACACCUGAAGUUUCUCACAUAGUGCCUUUUGGGUAAAAAAUUUCUCGCGAUUGAAGUAAUUUUCUCACCUUUAAUCAUGCCUUUUAGAUUUUUCGUUUGUUCUUCUUUGAUGCCUUCUCUUCUUUGAAUAACAGAAAAGGAUUGAGACUUUGGGAAUUUGGAGAUUUUGGGUUAGGCCAGCAAUUUGAUUUGGGGAUUUGGGGAGUUAGGGUUAGCCAUAGAUGAAAUUUUCAAGGUGAAAGGAAAGAGCAAUGAAAGGGGUAUUGAGAGCUUUGGAGGUGUCGAUGCCUUUGGGUUCUAUGGGUAGAUAAAUGGGUUUAUUGGGAGAUAACUUUAGAGUUGUCAAUACUGGAAUGUUUUUGUUAUUUAAUUUAUAUUAAUUAAUAAAAUAAAGAGGGGUUAUU
RNAcentral lists this long non-coding RNA (2325 nucleotides) under Nicotiana tabacum (common tobacco). RNAcentral's name for it is "long non-coding RNA (NTAB_LNC018523)". The record is from RNAcentral. Lineage: Eukaryota; Viridiplantae; Streptophyta; Magnoliopsida; Solanales; Solanaceae.